CUUGGUUUGACUGAACUCACAGAAUAUUGAGUCAGAAUGAACAACUUUUCUUGCCCCAAAAGUGCAAAAGCUAGGAGAAGCAGUCAAACUGUACUUUCAACUCUGUGCUGUCAGUGAGAGCUGCGAACAUGAAGCAGUUGCCAUUCUCAGUGGUACAAUAAUCAAGUAGGAACUAGAGUUUCAGCACUCUCAGGCUCAUUCUGCAUUUGCGCUGCCACUUGAAAUACCAGAUUUGCUUGACAGAAGAAAAAAACAGCUGCAGUGUUGUCAGGAUCUCUAACUGCAAUCCUCUGGUGAUGAAAGAGACCCCAGAAAUUACGUAUAGUAUGCUGCAGUGAAAACAUAAAAAGCCUCAGUUUCCUACCUGCUGCACCCCAGUCAUUUUCUCUUCUUGACACAAGAUGGAGAAGAGGGGACAACCAGUAGUCAGAAAGGGUCACUGUUCUCUGGGUCUGCCUCCUGGUGAUGGUGCACAGUUUACAGAAGAUGGCCCUUGGAGGAACUGCUUGCCUUUUGCAGUGACCAAAGGUUUCCACUCUUUGAGUGGAGGAGGCAGAUUCAAGAAAGCUGCAAUCGCUGAAGUGUGCUUAUCAUCUUCCCUCAUGGCAUCUUCCUCCUUGAAUUGUGCUUGUUGUGCUUGCUUCCUCCUUUGCUGCCCUUGUGAGAUGUCACAUUUCAGUUGGGUAAGCAAUUUGGUUGUAGCUCUAAUCAGAAAGAGGUGUCCAAGCACCAAGAUUAGGGGCUUAGGGUUGAUUUCUCCUCCCUCCCCCACCCUGUAUCCUGUAGUAAAUCAUUUGUGUACAGCACCUCAGCAACAUAGCAAAACAAAAGCUGCUGACAGAAACUUUGAAGGAGUCAGUCUUUCAUAUACAUGAAUAACUUGGCAUGACCGAUGCAGCAAAAGGAGGAUUGAAUGGUUGCUGUCUACAAAUACAAAACAAGGUUACUUACCUAGAAGAGCAUAGAACUAAAAAGUAUUAUAAAAGGAUGAAUAGUUACAUCCUUGCCUUGAAUAAAAAUUAGCUGUAAAUUAGAAGUCCCUUAAUG
RNAcentral lists this long non-coding RNA (1047 nucleotides) under Anas platyrhynchos platyrhynchos (common mallard). RNAcentral's name for it is "lncRNA (ENSAPLG00000025181.1)". The record is from RNAcentral. Lineage: Eukaryota; Metazoa; Chordata; Aves; Anseriformes; Anatidae.